GACGAACGCUGGCGGCGUGCCUAACACAUGCAAGUCGAACGGAACUUCUUUAAAGGAUUUCUUCGGAAUGAAUUUGAUUAAGUUUAGUGGCGGACGGGUGAGUAACGCGUGAGUAACCUGCCUCUGAGAGGGGAAUAACAUUCUGAAAAGAAUGCUAAUACCGCAUAAUAUAUAUUUAUCGCAUGGUAGAUAUAUCAAAGAUUUAUCGCUUAGAGAUGGACUCGCGUCCGAUUAGUUAGUUGGUGAGGUAACGGCGUCACCAAGACCGCGAUCGGUAGCCGGACUGAGAGGUUGAACGGCCACAUUGGGACUGAGACACGGCCCAGACUCCUACGGGAGGCAGCAGUGGGGGAUAUUGCGCAAUGGGGGAAACCCUGACGCAGCAACGCCGCGUGAAGGAUGAAGGUCUUCGGAUUGUAAACUUCUUUUAUUAAGGACGAAGAAAGUGACGGUACUUAAUGAAUAAGCUCCGGCUAACUACGUG
Molecule: ribosomal RNA, 484 nt
Filed under: uncultured bacterium
Lineage: Bacteria
Description: bacterial SSU rRNA
Rfam family: Bacterial small subunit ribosomal RNA
Source: RNAcentral